GAGUAUGAAAAGUUUAAAAAUAUAUUUGAGAUGUAGAGGGGCUAAAUGAUACUUUUAAUAUAUUAAAAAGUAAGAAAAACGACAUUCUUAUUUGGAGUCAAAUAUCUAAAACCACCCAUAUGAAAUUUCGUGUGCGCAAGGUGCACAAGAGCCAUACUAAUCUUCCUAGGGUCCCUAGCAAAGAAGAAUUAUUUACUAAAAACAAGACAAUGUUGUUUAUCCAACAAACAAAACUCUCAGUAACACCCCUCCAAAUAUAGAUAAUUUCUAGGUAACAUGCAUCUACUUUUGACAUAUUAUUCAAAUUAGAUUAUCUUUUAAUGGCGAUAAAGAGAACAAAAAGUACAGAUUAAAUCGAGAUUUCAUACAACUGAAGCAAGAAGAUCUUGAUCGAAAGCUUAAACCUUAAUGUUCUAAAUAACAAAUGUCCUAAAUAACAAAGUGAAGUCUGGGAGGAUAAGAUGUACCAUUGGUGCGCUAGGAAAUGGAAUUCAAAAAGUUCUUUAACUGUGAAUUUUGCUAGGAUUUGAAAUUCAAAAAGUCCUAUAACUGUGAAUUUUCUUAAAAGAUAAGUUAUCUAUCAUUAUUAUACUUGAAUUUUAAAAGAAAAAUUGUAGACCACAUGAACUGAUGAAUCAAAACAAUUAACAUCUGUAAUUGCACAAAUCUCGAAUACUAUAAUUCUUGAUAAACAACUGACACCCAAGGUAAGUAAACACACAGCUUCCCUAACACUCAGCAAAAAUACAACAAAGAAAAAUGUACAAACAGGUACAAAAUGACAUACUACUACAUUAUUUUACAGUGUCAUCAUGGUAAUAAUUCUUGAGGAUUAUGUGGUCAAAACAUCUGGGAUAGUAGGGGCAUGAUUUCCCAGUACUCUACCCCCUAUGUCUGGGAAAUUUUCAUAUCCUGAUAAUGGACCUAUUUUCCCAUCCGCACCCACAUGUAUUGGAUACUUCAGAAGAUGUCCUUGCAGUUGACUGAAAUUUUCAGCUGUGUAUCUCUUCCAGUUUUCUUCAGCAACCUCAUUCACCCUCCUCACACAUGUUAGCGCCUCUGGUUCCUCGAAACAUUCUUCUAUUCUCCCAAGGUGCUCUGACCACAGGGACAUUCUGUAUCCGUAGAUCUGCAGAUCAACACAAGAUGAAUAAAUACAUAAAUGUAUCCGGUUUUGUUAACAUCAACAGCAUCUUCUCAAGAUAAAUUAUGUGCAUAGUGUGAUUUUCAUUUAAACCUUUCCCCGUGGAUGCCUUUGCUUUUCUGUCCAUGCGUAAUGAGGCUGGUAGGCACCCAUAGCUAUCUCUGUAUCUUUUGACCCAGCUAAAGAUCGUUGAUUUAUGUUGGCAGAGCCCACUAUAACAUAAUCAUCAUCCACUAUCAUUCCUUUGGCAUGAACAUAUAUCAUGAAACGCUGAAACUUAUACGAGUCUGAGACCUGAUUGCACAUCAAAGAAAACUUCUCAAAAACGUAUUCAAGUUUGAUCAAAUUUUGAUAAGCAAAAUAAAACAAAAACAAGAAAGCAUAGAGGGUGACAACUCAUAACUUUUAAGGGGUCACUUGGUUUUGAGGUAAGUCAUGCAUGGGUAAGUAACGCGGAAAUUGCAAUGCAAAGAUUAGUGAUCUUGAAUUCUAAUGGGGAUCACUAUUGUUGGGUUUUUAGUUUGACAUAUUACAAUUGGUACAUUUACAAAUGUGUCUACUUUUUAAACGAAAUAAAUUGUGUUUACUGUAUGAGGAUUAAUUUGAUCAUUAGUGUUUCUUAACCUAUGCAUUACUAAUACCUGCAUUCUUAUUUCGGCUUUCUAUCAUGCAUAACAUAACUUACGCAGGCAAGCAUUAUUGAUGAACAGAGGUAAAAUUGCAACAAAACAAAGUAUUAGGUUAUGCUAAAAUUCAAGACAGAUAUUAGUUUCUCCUCAUUCAAGUAACCAGCGGCCCCCAAGUUUUUUCUUCUGCUUCACACAUUAGGCAGAAGCACGGAAAGACAAAAUAUUGUUACUGAUCAUAGUGGGUAUGCUUCCUGCACUGAGAUGAGACUUAUAGGUCGAAGUAAGCCGUAUGCCUAUGUUACUACUUGACAAAAUUGAACUUCGUUUCAUUCCAGGGUAUAUGAUUGAAUUCAGUCAGUCUCACGACAUAAUCAGAGCAAGGCUUUGGUUACUGGCAUUUCCUCAUGGAUCCAACUGUUAGGUUUGUGGGUAGGUUUGUAAAGCAAUUCUAUUAAUCACCCGAAGAACUCAUCUCAAUCACACUUUAAUAAGUCAGUCUCACUUUAUCAUAAAUGGUUUAACCACCCCAACUAGCGGUCCGAGCAGCUACAACUAGUGUAAUCAUCAUCAACAACAACAACAACAACAAACAAAAGUGUAUUCCCACAAAGUGGGGUCUAGGGAGGGUAAGAUGUACGCAGUCCAUACCGCUAUCUCCGAAGAAGUAGAGAGGUUGUUUUCGAUAGACCCCCGGCUCAAGAUAAAGAGUAGUAAACAAUGGGAUGGAUGACACAACAGAAAAUCAGGAAUAAGGAAUAAUAAAAUAGAAACCAGAGAAAAUACGAAAUAAGAGACAUAAGGGCAACACUAAAUAAGAAAAUAGGAACUAAGAAAUAAGAAAUAGGACCCCCACCUAGUAGUAACAUACCCCCACAUACCAAAGACACCUAAGUACACAGUUCUAGGAUUACAAACCCGGCUACACAAGAACUUCUACAAUCCACGCACUCCCACUAGCCUUCUACCCUUAUCCGCGACCUCCACACCUUCUUAUCUAGGGUCAUGUCCUCAGUAAGCUAAAGUUGUUCCAUGUCAUGUCUAAUCACCUCCCUCCAGUAUUUCUUCGGCCUACCGCUACUCCUCCUGAAACCAUCCAAAGCUAGCCUCUCACACCUACGAACUGGGGCAUCCGCGCCCCUCCUCAUCACAUGCCCAAACCACCUCAGCCUUCCUUCCUGCAUCUUGUCCUCCACUGAAGCCACUCCCACCUUCUUCAGGAUAAUCUCAUUCCUAACUCUAUCCCCUCUAGUAAGCCCACACAUCCAACGUAACAUUCUCAUUUUCGCCACCUUCAAUUUUUGGAUGUGGGAGUGCUUGACUGGCCAACACUCCGCUCCAUACAACAUGGCCGUACGAACUGUCACUCUAUAGAAUUUGUCUUUAAGCUUAAAGGGCACCUUCUUAUCACACAACACUCCCGAGGCGAGCCUCCACUUCAUCCAACCUGCUCCAAUACGUUUAGCGACAUCCUCAUCAAUCUCACCAUUCCCCUGAAUUGUAGACCCAAGAUACUUAAAACUAUCCCUCUUACGAACAUCCUGAGAGUCCAACCUCACCACCACUUCGUCCUCCUGCCUCAAGUCACUAAACUUGCAUUCCAAAUACUCCGUCUUGGACCUACUCAACCUGAACCCCUUAGACUUGAGGGUUUGCCUCCAAACUUCCAAUUUGUCAUUCACAACCCCUCCCUCACGUCUCAUCAAUCAACACUACAUCAUUCGCAAAUAACAUACACCAAGGCACCUUGCCUUUAAUACCCCGCCAACACGUCCAUCACCAACACAAAUAGGAAUGGACUAAGAGUCGAUCCCUGAUGCAACCCUGUCUCGACCGGAAAAUGCUCUAACGUCGUCCUCACCCGGGUCUUCCCUCCAUCGUACAUGUCCUUAACUAGUGUAAUCAUGCUAUUGAAUAAUCAUUCACCAAUUGAGAAACCAGUAUAGAAUUCGAGGAGACGCGAAACAAGCAGAGUUUAGGGAAUCUGAUACUGUUUAAAAGUCGAUGGCUAUUUUUUAAGACUCCAAAACCCAUUUUCAUCAAUAUUAAAGGCAGCCUUCACAUCAGAUGCUCCAAAAUUUAUUUUGUGUAUAUACCCAACAAGCAUAUUUAAAACAAGAAAAUUCCCAAUUACCUUAUCACCAUUACCAGAAGGUUGAGGGAUAGAGCCUGGAAUUUCUUCACGGUUACCAAGGCAGUAGAAAUUCAAAUAAUCUUGCGGAUGUGAGUCCAAAAGCUGCAUCGACUUGAGCUCUGUUGCAAUAAUUUGAUACAUCAUCUGUAUAGUCUGGCUCUGUUGAAAGAAAAUAAAAAUCUUAAAAAGCACAUCUCAUUUUCUUCUUGUAUGGAGUACCUUUUUUCAGAUCACUCAUUGAUCCAAUAGUCAGUUGAUCACAUACUGAAUCAUCAAAUUUUCAUAGUAAUAUAAUGACAAUGAGAGGCAUGAAGAAAAACACGUCAUGGAACAUACUCCCUCUGUUCCACAAUAAGUGAAUUGAUGGAGUAUUUUUUAGUGUUCAAAAUAAGUGAAUGGUUCACAAUUCAAGGUAGAUGUUGGAAAUUUUUUUCAAAUAUACCAUCCAUUAAAUGUGCAUUGGAAGUGAUGUAUCGUUAUUAAGGUUUUGAAAUUUGAAAAGGAUAAAAAUGGAAAAACAUGAUAAAUUUAUGUCUUUAUUUAUUUUUAUUAACAUGUGUGCCAAAAUCCAACAAUUCACUUAUUAUGGAAAGGAGGGAGUAGUGUUUUUUUCAAUAUCCUUUUUUCUCACUUGUACCUCCAUGUCUAAGGGAAGAAAUAUACCAUCCUAAAGGAUAAGAAUAUUUGUUCUUUCAAACAUUUAAAGCAAAUAAAAGCUCUCUUUUGGAUAGGCAUGAUUAUAGAUAAUAGAAAAAACUAAAAAGGUGGCCACAGUUUAUGUUUAAUGCACACUCUAUAACUAGUACAUUCUGAUAUUUGGAUGCAUUAACCCUUCAGACAGCUGGCAUAUCUAAUUCUGAAAGUAUACUUGAUGCGGCUGCCUAUUUGAGGCCAGUGUAACCUAAUCAUUUCAUUUAAUUGUUGUGGCCAGUAUCAUCUGAUCAUUGCUCAUUUAUAACUACCUAUCUUCUUCAUAAGAUCCAAAAGACAUAAACAUAAGAGUUUCAGCAAAAUUACCUGCCAGAAGAGUAUUUCCUGCAUAGUGAUUGACUUAGGGUCCCCUUCAGGCCACAUGGGCACAACAACAUAUACACAAAACCGCUCCCUGGCUCUAAUUUUACUAGUAAUUUUCAGUGCCAAUUCUAUCGGUAUCAGAUGAUCAGCUCCUGAUCAAGUUAAAAACAAAUGAAAUCAGGACGCAAUGCAACUCCUCUUAAGAGUGUUUAAAAUGAGUACAUCUCGAAAGAGAUAUUAGGAAAACUAUGUAAGAACUACAAUUUUACUUUAGGAGGUUGCACGAUCUCAAAACCAUUCAUUUUUUCCUAGGAAGCUACAUAAUUUGGAAUCUUAGCAAGUUUGGAGCAAUAUCCGAAUAUUUAUAAAAUGGGGAUGCAUUCCAAGUGACAAAAUGGUCAUUUAGAUGAUAAUUUCUUUUCCAGAACCAUAUUGGACCGCACUAUUGAGUUUUACCUAUGAGCUUCAAUGCAUUAAGUUGCAAUUAUCAGGGUUUCAACUUUUCAUAUGGACAAGAAUAUAAGGCCAAGCCUACCUUAAUACAUGCUAGGGAGUAGAAUCUUAUAUAUUGCAAUUCAGAAACAUAGCAAGAAGAUCAAAAUUUGACCUGCAUCUUUGUACGAUUCCCAGGCGUAUGAGGAUCCAAGAAAAUACUGAUUUUCAAUAUAUAUGAAAUGCUGAGCUGAUCUUAUUGCCUGAAUAUAUGCGGCUUCAAUGCUUUUAUCUACUAUCAGAUUUUUUGAGCAGACAAGGUUCUGCAAAAGAUAUAACGCCAAAGAAAAUGUGAAGUGUGAGGGGAGGAUAAAUUUUCUUCCUAGAGUUCCUUAAACAUUACGGCUACUUUAGCAAAAGUUUGAAAACAGAAUAGAAGGCUACGGUUUCCUUGCCUGCGCCUGCGCAGCAUCAAUUCUCUUGGGAAAGCCCUGCACUGAACCAGAAUCAAUGGAGCGGAAGAUCUGCAAUAAAAGAAUUGAGGGUGAAAGUUGAAAGAUAUGUAAGUAUUCAAAGAUAUCCACAAAACAAAGAAGUAUCAACCUGUACGUGCCAAUUUUCUGAGUGAUCUUCCCCAUACACAUAUAAUCUGGGAUCAUCCACUGGGAUUGUAGUGCCUUCCUUUAAAACAGCAAAAGCAGGGCUGAGUAUCCAUGAGAUACGCUCAAUUUUUAGCAUAGCAUCAUCAUGCCAAUGGGACAUUGUUUUCUUAAAAAAUUUGAAUUCCCUCCACUUUGUCGCUUUCCUCCACCGCUGAGCAAAGUUUAUAAGCACGUCAUAUACAGCAGGUCCAUCAAUUCUGCAAUGCAAAUCAUGCCAUGGUUGCCUUGGAGCCUUGGUCCCUGCCUAAUGCAUGUGACCAAAAAUAAUCAAAACAAGAAAAGAUAAUCAACUUUGAGGAAAAUACAGGAAAGACGUAAUGAAAAGAAAGGAAUAUGUAACAGAAAAAGGACAAACAACACAUGUAAACGUACAAUACGCUGAAAUGAGCUUGGUUUCAAUUGAAACAAAAGCGAGAGCCCUGCACUUAAGUUACUUAGGGACCUUUUAGAUAACCCUAUUCAAUACUUGCAAGAGAACGUUCAAAGUUGAAUGAACAAAAACCAACGGCAAACGUGCUUGUUAAUGUCAAAAGAAUAUCAUUCACUAUCUAUCAAAUACUAGAUAUUUUAUGGCUACAACACUGAAAUACAUUAAAUCAAUCACUACCAUUUUUUUUUGAUAUCCGUGGUGUCCAGGCUAGCUUUCGUGCACCUCGACUAAAUCCAUGGGAUACCUACCACUUCCCACCAGCAGCAGAUACCAAGUAACUUUGUCCACCAAGGCUAGGACAGAUGAGAAGAAUCACCUAGUGUUUUGUACCUCCAUUGGGAUUUGAACCUGAGACCUCAGGCUCUCAACCCACAUCAUUGACCACUAGACCACUACCAUAUUGAUAAUAAUCUACCAAGUUUCUUAUUUCAUAAUUUAUGUUAGGAAAUUAUUUUAUCACAGUUCUUGAAUUUUAUGAUAUACAACUAUUUGUUAAUGAACAAUUAUUGCUGACAGAGUUACAUAUUGCAGAUUGAGUAUUAGAGAUGAAAUAGGUUCAUCUACAUUAAGGUUAAUGAAGAAACACGUAUACCGAGUUGGCAAGAAAUAAGUCCCAAAUUAUCCCCCAAAAGAAAUCCAAGAUAAGAAAUCAUAGUAAUAAAAACCGAAAGAAGAUAUAGCAAUCUGAUAUUGAAUAUUCAAAAUACAGGCACAUAACUUUAAGUCUUGAGAUUUAAUUUUUCACUAUCAAACAGCUCAUAACACUUCUGAAAAAUAAUUACAACAAUUAUGGAUGUCAAGAACCAUAUUUAAGUUUGAAAAUGUUGAUACUCAAAAUCCAGGACAUAAGUUUCAGGAUUUAGAGUCUAACUAUUACUCCCUCCAUCCCAAUUUAUGUGGCAUCAUUUGACAUGGCACAAAGUUUAAGAAAAAGGAAGACUUUGAAAUUUGUGGUCUAAAAUAAACUUUAUACAUUUGUUUGACUAUAAAUCAUUUCAUGGUAAAAGAGGAAUUUAAAGUUAAGAUGUUUCUAAUUAUAAAAAGGUGACAUUCUCUCUGGGAUAGGCUAAAAAGGAAAGGGUGCCACAUAAAUUGGAAAUGAGGGAGUAUUAUUCAAUUAAUGGCUAAUAAAUCUCCUUAACGAGUAUCUACAGCAAUUACAUAAGUAGAGAACCAUAUGCUUUGCGCUCCUUCUAAUUACAACAUGCUUGAGAGCUUGAAAUGCUGUGAACUACAACACUGCCCUUUGCUCGUUAAAAUUUAAAUCACGUGAAAAAUAAUAGCUAUAUACUAAAUAUCUAGCAGCAAAUUGUCUCCCAUAGUAUGAAAAGAUGGCUUACAUUUGUUAGUUCAGAAGAAGAAUUGUAGAUACUCUACAUAAACCUAUAACCCUUUCUUUCUAGAUUACUUGGUCACAAUAACAUAUGAUAAUAAAUUUCAUAUUAUCCCCUUUUUGAUAAUUAAGAAUAAUAAAUCUGUUGUUAGUGCCCACAACAUCACACUAGCAUCAAGUACACUAGCCAUUUACACAACCAACCAAUUUCUAUGAUCAGUAUUCCACAAGUCCACUUCAAUGUCUGCUGACUGCAAUCGCAGUUGUUCCAAAUUCUGUAAGGGAAUACUUAGCAGCAUUUCAUAAAAUUCUUGGAAACAACGUUCUAGAAAAAAACAAAUCAACCAAGUGAAGAGAAAUCUCUUCAUUUGCUGAAGACAAUGGUAUUUUUUGUGAAUCUACGGUCAAGAGUAUUGAUCCCCUAACCACCUUCACAAUUCUAGAAAAUCAACUAUGUAAAGUAAGGAGUCGUCCCAGAGUACAUAUGACAGAUAUUAGAAUUAUUGAAGGGAAAAAUUUAGAACAAAAGCCACUCACAGGAAAUGUAGGCUGAUGAAAGUCAUCUUUAAAUACAGUGUCAAGAUCAUGGAAUAAGCGAUGUUCCGGUGUAUCAUAUCGACCAUCACAGAGAUCCAGACCUCCUAAGAAUGCUGUAAUUUUUCUAUUAUUACCAGGUGCCUGUGUAUCUACCAGUACACACUUCUGAUGGUGUGUAAACAUGGUUCCAACUACCUGGAAGCAAAAAAUAUUUAGGUCACAAAAGCACUUCAUUGCAAUAUCAGUAGAGGCCAUGGUGUGUAAACAUGGUUCCAACUACCUGGAAGCAAAAAAUAUUCAGGUCACAAAGUCACUUCAUUGCAAUAUCAGUAGAGGGCAAAUCAUGCAUCCAAAGGUAGGGAAAUUGGUUUAACUGAUUUUAUAUUCAUAAAAAGAUUGAAGACUCUCAGAAGGGAAUAUUUAUACCUUCCAAACAAAUUUAACUACUGCUUUAGAAGAAUUAUAGUAUUUGUUUAUUCCAUUCAUUCAUGACACUAUCCUGUCAAGCCACAGAAGGCAAGCAUCCGUAUUUAUGUUAUNNNNNNNNNNNNNNNNNNNNNNNNNNNNNNNNNNNNNNNNNNNNNNNNNNNNNNNNNNNNNNNNNNNNNNNNNNNNNNNNNNNUGAACCAAAGCAUUUCCUUGAUUCCCAUCUUUCAUCCGUAAAAUUAUAAGAAUAUUUUCAAAUGGAACCUCCAUCAAAUGGAACACCUGAUACUGAACCCAAACUAUUGAAGGCAUGGUUCAAGGGGCAAUAACUUCACAGGCACAUAGGGAAGCCAACAAUCAGAAGACCUCAAAGUACAUUUAAUCUAACAAAUGUGUAAAUGGUUAUGAAAGUUAACCUGUUGCUUGAUAAGGCUGAGCUUACUGCUAGCAUAACGUGGUGACAAAACGCAUAUUACAGAGGAAUGCUUAAAGAACUUCCUGGUCUCCUCAUCGUGAGUUCCCAUUACUCCCGCCUGCAUCCAAUGUCAUCUCAAACUAUUGUUUAAUUCACCAACAAGAACUCAAACUAAUGAUACACUCAUUUGAAAGCAAGUUGAAAAAGACAAUUCAUUUUAAUGUAAAUUGAGCUCGCCAUUAAAAUAAUAACCACUAGCAACAUUAAGACAAUAUUCUUAUCUUACACCUAUCUGACUACCUACUUAAAAUAACAGCCAACAAAGUAUCCAAAAGUAACUCAAUAUAGUUUAACAAAGAAAUCAGCAAACAGUAUAAAGAUCCAUACCGUGUUAAUAAAGAAUUUAUCAUGGGAAGUUUUAUCAUCCCAAACUAAUAAAAGAACCCGAACCCCUUCUUGAGACUUAUACUUAAGUAAUUCACCAAGUGUCAAGUCUCCGCCGCGUGGCAAUGGCUUGGUGGGCUCUCGAAUUAACUUGAUUUUGUGAAAAACAGACCACCCAACAAUGUAAACCAAAUGAUGAGCCUCUGAAAUUGCAUAACAUACAUCUUCCCAGCAUUUGUUGUGUUCGAAAACUGUAUUGUUUUCCAGCUGUAUAUCUGGGAGCUUAAAGUUAUCGCUAACAUGAGCAUCUUGGUACAGCUUCACUGAACUCCCUUUUCUCAGUGGAAAAUACGUAUGCCUUACCCCUAAAUGCUGAGGAUCUGAAGCAAUUCCUCUUCUGUACAAUGGGUUUUUAUCGUACGGAACGAAUUUCAUCAUUAACCGGAGAGCCGUGUUGGGUUUUGGAGGUUUACCUGAAGCACCAAUAACGGGAAACCAGCCGGCAAUGACCUCACCGGGGGCAAUUUUCUCGGCCAGAAUAGUAACUUUACCCAUAACUUGAGCACCGAAAACAUCAUCAUCUUUAACACGAAACUCCAAAGAGUCAAUUGGGUGUGCUAAGUGGAUAUGGAAAUGCUCAUCCCAAACAGGGUUUUGUGAAUUGGGUAUAACACGUGUACGGGCAAGAGCAGUGUGAGGAGCGCACACAGUAACGUAUGGGUCACUAGUUAUAAUCCUCCGGUGGUGGAUUUUUUGGUCGGAGGUUUUCACAUUGGGAACAGCGCCGUUUCCGUCGGUGGCGGCGGAGUCGUCGUCAGGAGGAGGUUUCCGGCAGACAUCACAGGCGGUGAAGCAACGGCGAAUACGCUCGGAAGUUAAGUCCAUGUUGGGUAAAUGACGUGCUUGAAUUAUAUGAAGCUCUAAAUCUCCAUGUAAACAAAUGAAGUUUUCCUUGGAUGAAUUUUCUGCCAUGUUUUUGUGUUGUGUCGAGAGAGAUUGUUGUAGUUGUAAUAGUGUUCAAAGAAACAUAGGGAAAAGAGAGAGAAGAUGAUAGCAAUUGCAGAGAUAUAGAGAUACACGUUGUGAAUAACUGCAAAGCUUUGCUGUGAUUUUACGACUCCCAGUAAUGGUGACACCGUAGGACGUAGCGGUGGAGGUUAAGGUAUUAUUGACAUUUAACUUUAAGUAACAAAAGUGUGGCAUUUGCAUAUGCCAAAUGGGAGUAAGCACUGCGUUUGGAGUUUGGACAUUCAAAUUGUAGUCUGUAUUUGAAACUUACUAAAGUUAGAAACUCAAUUGUUAAAAAAAAAUAAAAAAAAAGUAUCUCUCUAAUUCAAAAUAAAUUAAGAAUAUGCCUCCAAAUUUAAAAAGAAAUGUACAUGUAGAUGUUUAUUUAAAAAAUGGGCUAAUAUCACCUUUUUAAAUUCGAAAUUUAUUUUCAAGAAUUUUUUACUUGUAUUUAGCGAUAUAAAAAACAUUAUUUUAGAAUCUCUUUUUUUCCCUUUUUGCUUGGCAUAUCUCGUUUAGUAAUAAGAUUAUAGUAUAUAAGUUUUCGUGAGAGCAAUCAAAUGUAGAAUAAAAUUGCGUAUAAUAAUAAAUUUUCAUCUUUAGGCAUUGAAUAUCUUUUUUAUAUUUUAAAUAGGUUUCACCACAAUUAAGAUAUCAUGUUAGUAUAAUUUUAGGUAGAACAUUCUUUUUUUGUUUUGCAAUUGCUACAUGCACUUGGGACCAACAAGUUAAAAUUUGAACGCAUUAUUUUCAAAGUAGUUCAGAAUUAAUAUGAUGUUGGUGUGAUUUUCUUAUAAUAUGUAGCUAGACAAAUUAAAAGGAUCCAUUAGAAAAUAUUUCACAAGAUUAAUACACAAUGCUAAUAUAAUAGGGGGUAUAUUACAAACUAAAUUUACUACGCUGCAUCGCAGUUAGUAUAGAAGACGUGUAAAUCACAUCUUAUAUAAUUUUAAAAUUUUUAUAAAAAUUUGUAUUUUUGAAAUUUUAUGACAUACGUGUUAGAUCUUGAAAGAGAGAAAUCUAUUGAUUUGGUGAUUAGAGAAACUGAUUUGAUGAUAGUUGAUUUGAGUGGUUUGCCUUUUUCUUUAAUAUUUGACUUAAAGAAGGUUUGCCUAACAUGUUCCAGUAGGACCAAUAUUGUAGUAAUUGGUCAUCAAGAUUUGUGUUUAACAAGUCUAUAUAUAUGUCGAACUUUCUUCUAGAAAAGGGUUAAAAGAAAGUGUAGGGGCUAAAUCUUGUAUAGCUUUACAGACGAAAAUGAAAUAAAAGUAAAGCAGCUCGUUAAUAUUCUCCCAUCAUUUCUUAUGCAGCACUUAAAGCCUACACUUUAGAGGCCAAAAGUUGAAACUAGAACAAGUUCAUUAGUCAUUAAUUAAUGUUUCUACUUUCUAAUUACAUAAUUAAAAAAAAAAAAAAAAAAACAGAAUGAAAAACGAAUAAUACAUUUCGUAAUAUUAGAAAUUAUACUCCUCCAUAUGUGUGAAUAAAAUCAAAAAGAAAAAAAGAAAAUAUCACUGUGGGUAAAAUAAAUAAGUACUUUUUUGGAAUUAAGAAUUAGCUCACUUAAGUGCAAUUCUGUCUUUUCCGAUUUGGAUAAACAUUUUCGUGAUUGCUUAUCAUUAGUGUGGGGACUUAAGUACAUGUUAAUGGAGUUCCGAUAUGGACAAAGGGAAUUGCAAAAAUCAAAGAAAACUAAUGCGGUCAAAAAGGAUUUAUAUGCUUUUAUAAGGAAAUCAGUUGCAGUCGAUAACAACAAUGUCUCCUUAGUUAGCUGAUAAAAUUCAUGAUGGAAGACAAUGAUUGGUUAUCCACCUUAUCAAAGUAAACCUCUAUCAUAUCCAUACUUGACAUCUCGUACUCCUGGUUUUAAGUUAUAUUAACAAUCGCAUUCCUCAAUAGUUACUCUCACCGUUCCAAAAUACUGGUCAUAAUUUGCUUUCUUAGUCAAACAUAAAUAUAUUUUUUCAUUAUAGUGAUAUGAGAAAAAUUAUGACUUAUAAUAGUAUUUUUGUAUAGUUUUUAAAUAUCUAAAUUUUAAAUUUAAAAAUAUUAAAUUAAUAAUUUAAAUUAAAUUUAAAAAUUCGUUAAACUAACUCGAAAUUUAAGACAUGACAACUUAGGAUGUAAGGAGAAGCAAAGCAUGGCAACUAUUUCGAAGGAACGGAGAAAUUACAGUUCAAUUACUAUCUAAUAAAAAAUAGUACUUAGCCCCCAAGGGGGUGGUUGAGUUGAUUUGAGGAGACUUUCCAUAGCGGAGGUCGCGGGUUCAUUCCACCUCUAAUACCUUCUCAAUCGAGCUCGUCGCACGGGAUUUACCUAGUGCGGUUUACAUCUCCUAUGUGAUUUGUGAGCUAUUGCACGGUGAGGGGUUUAUCCAGUGUGCACACAGUGCUCACCCGAAGGACAGAGGCUGUAGCGGCUGCGAUCUUGGAGUUUCCAAAAAAAAAUAGUACUUAACUAGCAUAUUAAAACUCAUUGAUAAACACUAUGGAUGAUAGCUUAAAUUUUAUUCUAAUUUGAACGUUUAUUUAGUUCUUGUUCUUGAUAAUACAGGUUACCUAUUACUUUACUCAAUUCUAGACCAUACAAUCGCUCUCCACGUAGUUCUAAUUGAUUUUGACAUAAAUAAUACGUAGAUUCCUGUCUUCAUCUGAACAUUUUACAUAAAGAGGCGUAUAACCGCUGCACACAUUGCGUGAGACGUGGCGCUACCCGAAUUCCAACGAAUUUCAUAUGAUUUCUCAAACUUGCAAAGAAUCUACUGAUGCACUUGCUAAGCUUGCAGUGCAAUAAUACUCUGGUUCAUGUGGGUCAGGUUAACCAGGAAAGAGUAACACCACCUGUUUAAAUUACCCAAUGUUACAUACACAACGUUUUUUAAAAAAAGGAAGUACCAAGAUAAGUGCAUCCAAAAACCAUUGAACUUCAUAACACAAGGACGUCCUUUCACUUGGACAAAGAUUUGCCAUCUUAAUGAAAAUGCCUUCCACAACUCUCCAUAAAGAAGACUCAAGACGACCUUUUCAAUGUGAAGCAUAAAGAGGCCUAUAAUAAUAUCAGCAACCUCAGAAUUUUUAUACGAAAACACCGAAGUUCAAGACUAUUUCAUAGGAACCACGUUUGCGCAUCUAAUAAAAUACAAGAUCAGAGUCAUAGGCAGCAAAUGAAAAUCCACAGCCUCCACCCCAAAUGGAAAAACAAGAGAAGCAGGUUGCAUUAUUCGGUUUUACCACCUAACACAAUUUGAUCUUCAAUAGAAGGACACAACUUGAUGUUCCCACCUUUAUCCAAAGCAUUCUCGACUGAAAAAGAGAAACCGACAAACUUGACAAAACAUGCAUUUGUUCGAAAAAAUAUUAUACAAGGUCCAGAGUCAUUCAAUCUUAAGCCUCCAGAAGCACAGUACUGACUAAUGAGCCAGUUUCAGCCACUGAAAGAUUAAAAGUGAAAAUACAACUUUCUUUCUUCCCUAAUGAUUAACCAGUCUUGUCAUCUUUGACACUCUUGUUGUCUCUAUCACUUAUACGUGGGGUGUACUGGCUAGUAGAUGAUGGUGAAUACCCAGGAGCACUUGGUGAGUACCCUGCACUUGGACUGAAGAAAAACAGUUUUUAGAAAGGAAAAAAAAACAUAAAUCACACUGCAUUAAGGACCUGAGAAGUAAAACCCAACUAACCUGUACUGGGGAGAACUCGGACUAUAAUCUGGACUUGUACCUGAGUUGUUGUAUGGGCUGAAUUUGGGGGAAAAGAAGAGAAAAUUAUUUCAAAAAUGGAUCAGGAAAUCAUGCUCAUCAAAAUUCAAAAUGCAGCGUAAGACAAAGAAAAAGGAGGUUACCCUCCAACAGUAUAAGAUCUCACUAUUUUACUUCCACCAAGAUUUCAGGCAGUAUAUCAAAUACAGGACUACAUGCACAUCAGUUACCUGCUGGGACUAUAGGUUGGGCUUGAAGGAGAAUAUGAUGGAGAUGUUGGAGAGUACGAAGGUGACGUAGGACUGCAAAAACAAGACCACAUUUAAUCACGUCAUUAGUAAUAUACCAAGAGCCAGUCAGAAAUCUACCAAUACAAACCCCGACGAUUUCAGAAACUAACUAGUUAUAAUGAAACUGACUUUAAACCAGAGAUAAAUUAGGUAAAGCAGCGUAAUUAAGAUUAAGGCACUAGUAAAGUCGAUGUAUUAUUAUCGAACAGAGGCAACUUGAGCCUUUCCUGUCCGGCAAACGAAUCAAGACACCUGUAUCAAACAAAGGUUGUUUACCUGUAACUUGGAGAUGACGGGCUGUAAGGACUAGAAGGAGACAGCUUCGGGCUGGUUGGCGAAUAUGCAAGGGAGGGGCUGUAUCUUGCCGAGGGAUUGUAACUUGGUGAUGUAGGACUGUAGGAUGGUGAUGUUGGGCUAUAGCUGGGAGAUGUUGGGCUGUAACCAGGGGAGGUAGGACUGUAUGCAGGAGAAGUCGGACUAUAUGAAGGGGAAGUUGGACUAUAAGUUGGUGAGGUGGGGCUAUAUGAAGGCGACGUGGGGCUGUAUGAAGGUGAAGUGGGACUGUAAGAUGGGGAAGUGGGGCUGUAAGAUGGAGAAGUGGGGCUAUAGGCAGGAGAAGUAGGGCUGUAGGCAGGAGAAGUAGGACUGUAAGCAGGAGAAGUAGGACUAUAACUGGGCGAUGUUGGGCUAUAGCUAGGUGAUGUUGGGCUGUAGCUCGGAGAUGUUGGGCUAUAACUGGGUGAUGUGGGUGAGUAUGAUGGACUGGUUGGAGAAUAUGCUGGACUUGUUGGGCUGUAGCCAGGGGAGCUUGGGCUAUAAGUGGGGGAAGUUGGGCUGUACCCAGGGGAUGUGGGGCUGUAGCCCGGGGAAGUGGGGCUGUAACCUGGAGAGGUCGGGCUAUAACCAGGGGAUGAUGGACUAUAACCAGGGGAUGACGGGCUGUAUCCAGGGGAUGAAGUGGG
RNAcentral lists this long non-coding RNA (15491 nucleotides) under Capsicum annuum. RNAcentral's name for it is "long non-coding RNA (CANN_LNC003607)". Lineage: Eukaryota; Viridiplantae; Streptophyta; Magnoliopsida; Solanales; Solanaceae. The record is from RNAcentral.